RNAcentral lists this long non-coding RNA (1096 nucleotides) under Daphnia pulicaria. Its description in RNAcentral is "uncharacterized LOC124335898, transcript variant X1". Lineage: Eukaryota; Metazoa; Arthropoda; Branchiopoda; Diplostraca; Daphniidae. The record is from RNAcentral.
AUUCCUGGACUGUUUGUGAAUGGGCUUUUUAAAUUCUUCAAUGGCAUUCAAUGAUUCAAGGACGAAUUGAACAAGAAACUGGAAGAAGAAAGCAAGAAAACAAUUCAUUCAAUAUCCGAAACGCAAGAAUUGAUCCAGCAACUGACGGCCUACAUAUGUCAACAAAUGUUGGAGGAGACAACGACCAGAAUGGAGGAUCUUUGUAAUCAGUUGUCGAUUAAGAAUGAAAACAAUAGAAAUCUUGACAGGAAGACUCACAGAGCAGAAUACACAUUGGCUGGCCAAGAGACCUCUCUGCGAUUAAUAUGCUGAUUUGGAAAAACAAAUUUCUUAUCUCAAGUUUCAGUUGUCUGAAAAGGCUAUUGAACUCCAGUGCAAGGAAAAGAAGAUUGAGGAAACUGAGAAUGCCUUGAAAGACUUGUUGCUACAUUCUCAUAGCAAUGAACAGUUGGCCAUUGUCGAAGAAAGUAAUCGCGAACUUUAGGACAAAUUUGAUGAAAGGCCCAGGAAUUUGAAGCUGCUCUUGUUUGUCGAGAGAAUUCGCAGCGAUUAAAAGCCGAUCUCGAUAAGUCAAAGUCAAUAGAACUACAGUAGAGCGGAUGGAAGAAAUCGAUAGAGCCUUAGAUGAAUUGACACUAAAGUCUCUUAACACUGAGCGGAAUCCUGCCGAUCAGAAGUGGACAACUGGACAUGCCGAGACAAAAAGAAAAGUUGGAGAUAGACGCUUUGAAAACAUCCUUAAAUUAUAUGAAUUUAGAACUUGAGAGUAUCAGCGGUGAAUACGAAGAGUAGAUAAUGGCGUCAUCGGAAAGAAAGAUAGCCGAUCUCGAGUCAGCCUUCUGGAGCGAAGAUUGGAAACGGAACGUGAACAGGCUUCUUUCCCUAACCAACAACCUGUGAUAAAGGCUGCCGUGGAACCAGCACGUUCGCUUCGGCCCAUCUUGAAGCAAACAUUUUCUGAUGUCAAACAACAGGAACUGGCUUCACAAGAUGCAAGGAUACCGUUUUAACUAUAAAAAAAAGGUUAAUCAAGCCCCUCUGUGGCACCUUCGAGAUUUUAAAAGUCUCCUUUCGUUUUUUUUCUUGAUUAGGAAAU